GAUGAACGCUGGGGGCGUGCCUAAUACAUGCAAGUCGAGCGAACAGACGAGGAGCUUGCUCCUCUGACGUUAGCGGCGGACGGGUGAGUAACACGUGGAUAACCUACCUAUAAGACUGGGAUAACUUCGGGAAACCGGAGCUAAUACCGGAUAAUAUAUUGAACCGCAUGGUUCAAUAGUGAAAGACGGUUUUGCUGUCACUUAUAGAUGGAUCCGCGCCGCAUUAGCUAGUUGGUAAGGUAACGGCUUACCAAGGCGACGAUGCGUAGCCGACCUGAGAGGGUGAUCGGCCACACUGGAACUGAGACACGGUCCAGACUCCUACGGGAGGCAGCAGUAGGGAAUCUUCCGCAAUGGGCGAAAGCCUGACGGAGCAACGCCGCGUGAGUGAUGAAGGUCUUCGGAUCGUAAAACUCUGUUAUUAGGGAAGAACAAAUGUGUAAGUAACUAUGCACGUCUUGACGGUACCUAAUCAGAAAGCCACGGCUAACUACGUG
Molecule: ribosomal RNA, 497 nt
Filed under: uncultured bacterium
Lineage: Bacteria
Description: partial 16S ribosomal RNA
Rfam family: Bacterial small subunit ribosomal RNA
Source: RNAcentral